UCCCCCGUGGCGCAAUUGGCUAGCGCGUCAGACUGUUAUCAUCCGGGCAUCUGGAGGCUGGUGGUUCGAGCCCACCCGGGGGAG
This 84-nucleotide transfer RNA is filed under the name Lasiosphaeris hirsuta. It matches the Rfam family "tRNA". From Rfam's summary of the family: Transfer RNA (tRNA) molecules are approximately 80 nucleotides in length. The record is from Rfam by way of RNAcentral. Lineage: Eukaryota; Fungi; Ascomycota; Sordariomycetes; Sordariales; Lasiosphaeriaceae.